RNAcentral lists this ribosomal RNA (497 nucleotides) under uncultured bacterium. RNAcentral's name for it is "partial 16S ribosomal RNA". It matches the Rfam family "Bacterial small subunit ribosomal RNA", at positions 28 to 507 of the family's 1533-position model. The record is from RNAcentral.
GAUGAACGCUGGCGGCGUGCCUAAUACAUGCAAGUCGAGCGAACAGACGAGGAGCUUGCUCCUCUGACGUUAGCGGCGGACGUGUGAGUAACACGUGGAUAACCUACCUAUAAGACUGGGAUAACUUCGGGAAACCGGAGCUAAUACCGGAUAAUAUAUUGAACCGCAUUGUUCAAUAGUGAAAGACGGUUUUGCUGUCACUUAUAGAUGGAUCCGCGCCGCAUUAGCUAGUUGGUAAGGUAACGGCUUACCAAGGCAACGAUGCGUAGCCGACCUGAGAGGGUGAUCGGCCACACUGGAACUGAGACACGGACCAGACUCCUACGGGAGGCAGCAGUAGGGAAUCUUCCGCAAUGGGCGAAAGCUUGACGGAGCAAAGCCGCGUGAGUGAUGAAGGUCUUCGGAUCGUAAAACUCUGUUAUUAGGGAAGAACAAAUGUGUAAGUAACUAUGCACGUCUUGACGGUACCUAAUCAGAAAGCCACGGCUAACUACGUG